GGAGUGAGGUUGUGAUAAGUGUGUGCUCCAAUUCUGCAGCUUCGCAUGCAUAUCUUGUGCAGCUAGGACAGCGUGCAUUCCCGCAAUGCAUAGAGCGAUUACAUGCUGCACCAUGAUGACAGACAGUAACUAAGUCCUACCAAGCAAGUGCCAGGAUAGCUCAUCGAAUAACACACGACCACGCCCUUUCAAGUCCUUUCCAGUUCAUCAAACGUACAGUUUGACACUGGAUACCGACAGCAUCGUAAACCACAACAGAACCAAUCAAUUGUCUUACUGAAUGACGCAUCGAGGCCGGUGAUUAAGGCCAUCUAUCAGAACAAACUAUGUGCCUACCGCUCUUGAAUGGCACGCAGUGUUACCUGAU
This is a long non-coding RNA of Cryptotermes secundus, 367 nucleotides long. RefSeq lists it as uncharacterized. Lineage: Eukaryota; Metazoa; Arthropoda; Insecta; Blattodea; Kalotermitidae. The record is from RefSeq and is a predicted model, not a curated record. The transcript has 3 exons.